UCGCAGACGCGACGCAUCGUGCCCCGGA
RNAcentral lists this small RNA (28 nucleotides) under Bombyx mori (domestic silkworm). RNAcentral's name for it is "ovarian small RNA-7553". The record is from RNAcentral. Lineage: Eukaryota; Metazoa; Arthropoda; Insecta; Lepidoptera; Bombycidae.